GAUGAACGCUGGCGGCGUGCCUAAUACAUGCAAGUCGAGCGAACGGACGAGGAGCUUGCUUCUCUGAUGUUAGCGGCGGACGGGUGAGUAACACGUGGAUAACCUACCUAUAAGACUGGGAUAACUUCGGGAAACCGGAGCUAAUACCGGAUAAUAUUUUGAACCGCAUGGUUCAAUAGUGAAAGAGGGUUCUGCUGUCACUUAUAGAUGGAUCCCGGCUGGAUUAGCUAGUUGGUAAGGUAACGGCCUACCAAGGCGACGAUGCGUAGCCGACCUGAGAGGGUGAUCAGGCACACUGGAACUGAGACACGGUCCAGACUCCUACGGGAGGCAGCAGUUGGGAAUCUUGCGCAAUGGGCGGAAGGCUGACCGAGCCAAGCCGGGUGGGGGAAGAAAGUCUUCGGAUUGUAAAACCCUUUUAAUUGGGAAGAAAAUAAGUGUUAGGAAACGUUGCAGUUUUGACGGUACCCAAAGAAGAAGCCCCGGCUAACUUCGUG
This 497-nucleotide ribosomal RNA is filed under the name uncultured bacterium. RNAcentral describes it as "partial 16S ribosomal RNA". It matches the Rfam family "Bacterial small subunit ribosomal RNA", at positions 28 to 507 of the family's 1533-position model. The record is from RNAcentral.